This 1399-nucleotide ribosomal RNA is filed under the name metagenome. Its description in RNAcentral is "SSU rRNA". It matches the Rfam family "Eukaryotic small subunit ribosomal RNA", at positions 364 to 1801 of the family's 1831-position model. The record is from RNAcentral.
GGAGAAUUAGGGUUCGAUUCCGGAGAGGGAGCCUGAGAAAUGGCUACCACAUCCAAGGAAGGCAGCAGGCGCGCAAAUUACCCAAUCCUGACACUGGGAGGUAGUGACAAAAAUAACAAUGCGGGACUCUUAUGAGGCUUCGUAAUUGGAAUGAGUACAUUCUAAAUCCUUUAACGAGGAACUAUUGGAGGGCAAGUCUGGUGCCAGCAGCCGCGGUAAUUCCAGCUCCAAUAGCGUAUAUUAAAGUUGUUGCGUCUAAAAAGCUCGUAGUUUGAAAACUUGCCUUGGCUUACAACAGACGUCUAAGGGCGUCACCGUUUGUCGAGAGCAAAUAUGGGUGACUGUUCUUGCCUUCUUCACUGAUUGGCUCGUAAAAGUCAUCGAAGAUCACUUUGAUUAAAUUAGGGUGCUCAAAGCAAGUGUGCUACUUGAAUAUGAAUGCAUGGAAUGAUGGAAUAUGUUGUUGUUCUAUUUGUUGGUUUUUUGAAUGAUGAAAUGAUUGAAAGGAACUGUUGGGGGCAUUCGUAUUGUUGUGAGAGAGGUGAAAUUCUUAGACCAUAGCAAGACGAACUACUGCGAAAGCAUUUGCCAAGAAUGUUUUCAUUGAUCAAGAACGAAAGUUAGAGGUUCGAAGGCGAUCAGAUACCGCCCUAGUUCUAACCAUAAACUAUGCCGACUAGCAAUUUGCUUUGUAUUUUUAUGACUAAGUGAGAGGCCACGGGAAACCAAAGUAGGGUUAUGGGGGAAGUAUGGUUGCAAAGCUGAAACUUAAAGGAAUUGACGGAAGGGCACCACCAGGAGUGGAGCCUGCGGCUUAAUUUGACCCAACACGGGAAAACUUACCUGGUCCUGACACUAGAAGGAUUGACAGAUUGAUAGCUCUUUCUUGAUUUGGUGGAUGGUGGUGCAUGGCCGUUCUUAGUUGGUGGAGUGAUUUGUCUGGUUAAUUCCGAUAACGAACGAGACUCUAGCCUAUUAAAUAAUAUGCGGAAUCAAUUUCUCCCGCGUUAUUUCUUAAUGGGAUCAAGCGUGUUUAACGCUUUGAAACAGAGCAAUAACAGGUCUGUGAUGCCCUUAGAUGUUCGGGGCUGCACGCGCUCUACAUUGAAGAACAAAGUGAGCCCUCUGGCUUUUAACAAAGCUAGAAAUCUUUUAAUGUUCUUCUUAAUGGGGAUAGGGGAUUGCAAUUGUGCCCCUUGAACGAGGAAUUCCCAGUAAGUGCUAGUCAUUAGCUAGUACUGAUUACGUCCCUGCCCUUUGUACACACCGCCCGUCGCUACUACCGAUUGAAUAGUUUAGUGAGAUCAUCUGAGUGUUUGUAUGUGCAUUCUGUGCUUGUAUGGUGUACGAAGAAGAUCAAACUUGAUUAUUUAGAGGAAGUAAAAGUCGUAACAAGGUU